RNAcentral lists this ribosomal RNA (470 nucleotides) under uncultured bacterium. RNAcentral's name for it is "partial 16S ribosomal RNA". It matches the Rfam family "Bacterial small subunit ribosomal RNA", at positions 28 to 507 of the family's 1533-position model. The record is from RNAcentral.
GACGAACGCUGGCGGCGUGCUUAACACAUGCAAGUCGAACGCUGAAGCACCAGCUUGCUGGUGUGGAUGAGUGGCGAACGGGUGAGUAAUACGUGAGUAACCUGCCCUUGACUCUGGGAUAAGCCCGGGAAACUGGGUCUAAUACUGGAUGCUACAUGUCACCGCAUGGUGGUGUGUGGAAAGGGUUUACUGGUCUUGGAUGGGCUCACGGCCUAUCAGCUUGUUGGUGAGGUAAUGGCUCACCAAGGCGACGACGGGUAGCCGGCCUGGGAGGGUGACCGGCCACACUGGGACUGAGACACGGCCCAGACUCCUACGGGAGGCAGCAGUGGGGAAUAUUGCACAAUGGGCGAAAGCCUGAUGCAGCGACGCCGCGUGAGGGAUGACGGCCUUCGGGUUGUAAACCUCUUUCAGCAGGGAAGAAGCCACAAGUGACGGUACCUGCAGAAGAAGCGCCGGCUAACUACGUG